CCUACGGGAGGCAGCAGUGAGGAAUAUUGGUCAAUGGGCGGGAGCCUGAACCAGCCAAGUCGCGUGAGGGAAGACGGUCCUAUGGAUUGUAAACCUCUUUAGGCGGGGAGCAAUGCCGGGCACGCGUGCCCGGAGGGAGAGUACCCGCAGAAUAAGCAUCGGCUAACUCCGUGCCAGCCGCCGCGGUAAUACGGAGGAUGCGAGCGUUAUCCGGAUUUAUUGGGUUUAAGGGGUGCGUAGGCGGAUUUUUAAGUCAGCGGUAAAAUGUCCGGGCUCAACCCGGGCCGGCCGUUGAAACUGGGGAUCUUGAGUGGGCGAGAAGUAUGCGGAAUGCGUGGUGUAGCGGUGAAAUGCAUAGAUAUCACGAAGAACUCCGAUUGCGAAGGCAGCAUACCGGCGCCCGACUGACGCUGAGGCACGAAAGCGUGGGGAUCGAACAGGAUUAGAUACCCUGGUAGUC
Molecule: ribosomal RNA, 460 nt
Filed under: uncultured bacterium
Lineage: Bacteria
Description: partial 16S ribosomal RNA
Rfam family: Bacterial small subunit ribosomal RNA
Source: RNAcentral